GAAAUGCGAUAAGUAAUGUGAAUUGCAGAAUUCCGUGAAUCAUCGAAUCUUUGAACACACAUUGCGCCCCCUGGUAUUCCGGAGGGCAUGCCUGUCCGAGCGUCAUUGCGAACCCCUCAAGCACGGCUUGUGUGAUGGGCCCUCCCGCGUCUUGGUCGUCAAGACGGGCCCGAAAUGCAGUGGCGGCUUCGCGGUUAUCCGAUCAGCCAGAGCGUAUGGGGACUUUCUCUCUGUCACACGCCCGCGGCGCGGACCGACGCCUGUCGACCUUUAUUCAUCUUUUUCUCGGUUGACCUCGGAUCAGGUAGGGAUACCCGCUGAACUUAAGC
RNAcentral lists this unclassified non-coding RNA (329 nucleotides) under plant metagenome. RNAcentral's name for it is "partial contains 5.8S ribosomal RNA, internal transcribed spacer 2, and large subunit ribosomal RNA". The stretch from base 1 to 105 matches the Rfam family "5.8S ribosomal RNA", at positions 50 to 154 of the family's 154-position model. The record is from RNAcentral.